AGCCUUGUGGUGUUUGGCACAUCAGAUUGCAAAUCUGAAGGCGCAGGCUGACCGCCUGCCGGGGCUU
Molecule: transfer RNA, 67 nt
Filed under: Hypostomus sp. LAGEEVO-1744
Lineage: Eukaryota; Metazoa; Chordata; Actinopteri; Siluriformes; Loricariidae
Also listed under: 1 other name
Description: tRNA-Cys
Rfam family: tRNA
About the family: Transfer RNA (tRNA) molecules are approximately 80 nucleotides in length. Their secondary structure includes four short double-helical elements and three loops (D, anti-codon, and T loops).
Source: RNAcentral